RNAcentral lists this small nucleolar RNA (106 nucleotides) under Gossypium arboreum. RNAcentral's name for it is "Plant small nucleolar RNA R71". It matches the Rfam family "Plant small nucleolar RNA R71". From Rfam's summary of the family: R71 is a member of the C/D box family of snoRNAs containing the C (UGAUGA) and D (CUGA) box motifs. Multiple nearly identical copies of this snoRNA have been identified in Arabidopsis, and it is thought to function as a 2'-O-ribose methylation guide for 18S ribosomal RNA. Lineage: Eukaryota; Viridiplantae; Streptophyta; Magnoliopsida; Malvales; Malvaceae. The record is from Rfam by way of RNAcentral.
AACCCAUGGUGAGGGCACCUUCUCAACAAAUCCUUGCAUCUCUCCCAUGCAUCGUAGAGUGUUUUUAAAUUCAUCUGCACAAAAGAGGAGAUAUCAUUAUGUAAUU